UCCGGAGGGGGCUAGCGUUGUUCGGAAUUACUGGGCGUAAAGCGCACGUAGGCGGCUUUGUAAGUUAGAGGUGAAAGCCCAGGGCUCAACCCUGGAAUUGCCUUUAAGACUGCAUCGCUAGAAUUGUGGAGAGGUAAGUGGAAUUCCGAGUGUAGAGGUGAAAUUCGUAGAUAUUCGGAAGAACACCAGUGGCGAAGGCGACUUACUGGACACAUAUUGACGCUGAGGUGCGAAAGCGUGGGGAGCAAACAGG
This 253-nucleotide ribosomal RNA is filed under the name uncultured bacterium. RNAcentral's name for it is "partial 16S ribosomal RNA". It matches the Rfam family "Bacterial small subunit ribosomal RNA", at positions 524 to 776 of the family's 1533-position model. The record is from RNAcentral.